RNAcentral lists this ribosomal RNA (250 nucleotides) under uncultured bacterium. RNAcentral's name for it is "partial 16S ribosomal RNA". It matches the Rfam family "Bacterial small subunit ribosomal RNA", at positions 779 to 1032 of the family's 1533-position model. The record is from RNAcentral.
UAGAUACCUGGUAGUCCGCACAGUAAACGCUGGAUGCCCGCUGUUGGCUCAUUAGAGUCAGCGGCCAAGCGAAAGCAUUAAGCAUCCCACCUGGGGAGUACGCCGGCAACGGUGAAACUCAAAGGAAUUGACGGGGGCCCGCACAAGCGGAGGAACAUGUGGUUUAAUUCGAUGAUACGCGAGGAACCUUACCCGGGCUUGAAUUGCAGACGAACGAUUCAGAGAUGAAGAGGCCCUUCGGGGCGUCUGU